UUUUUUUUUAAUUUUUUUGUAUUGUAGAUGGACAGAAUGCUUUUAUUUUAUUUGUUAACUUUUAUGUGGUGCUGAGGAUCGAACCCAGUGCCUCACACAUGCUAGGCAAGUGCUUUGCCACUGAGCUACAGCCCCAGCCCUCCCUUUGCUCUUGAUCUCUACCAUCACUGAAGUAUAAAGAGCUCAGUCCCAUAGAUGGCCUCCCAUGCCUCUCAGGACAGUGGUUUUGAAACUGUUCUCCCCAGAGCUCCUUUAGGGCUGGCUGCAAGUGGAAUUAUCUCAGUGGACAGUGAGAUACUAAAACUAGUGCUCUCCCUGCCCUCUCCACUCAGCCCCUGAACUUGGACUUCCACUAGUUUCUGUGGCCAGAGUUCUUAAGGGCACUGCCUUUAUAAAGAGAGCCUGAGAACCCCUGCUUG
This 419-nucleotide long non-coding RNA is filed under the name Marmota monax (woodchuck). The record is from RNAcentral. Lineage: Eukaryota; Metazoa; Chordata; Mammalia; Rodentia; Sciuridae.